RNAcentral lists this ribosomal RNA (253 nucleotides) under uncultured bacterium. RNAcentral's name for it is "partial 16S ribosomal RNA". It matches the Rfam family "Bacterial small subunit ribosomal RNA", at positions 524 to 776 of the family's 1533-position model. The record is from RNAcentral.
UACAGGGGGGGCAAGCGUUGUUCGGAAUUACUGGGCGUAAAGGGCUCGUAGGUGGCCAACUAAGUCAGACGUGAAAUCCCUCAGCUUAACUGGGGAACUGCGUCUGAUACUGGAUGGCUUGAGUUUGGGAGAGGGAUGCGGAACUCCAGGUGUAGCGGUGAAAUGCGUAGAUAUCAGGAGGAACACCGGUGGCGAAGGCGGAUCUCUGGGCCUUACCUGACGCUGAGGCGCGAAAGCUAGGGGAGCGAACAGG